Daphnia magna is the source of this 576-nucleotide long non-coding RNA. RefSeq lists it as uncharacterized. The transcript is spliced from 3 exons. The record is from RefSeq and is a predicted model, not a curated record. Lineage: Eukaryota; Metazoa; Arthropoda; Branchiopoda; Diplostraca; Daphniidae.
CAAUUGUUGAGUAAGCAAUUCUUUGGCCCGGUUCGUCUCGUCGUUGGCGACACUACCAUAACAUUUGGGUAAACUGUUGUACGAAGAAGAAACGUAAUUCGGCAAAGAAUAAUCUUUAUCGGAAAACGGUGGCGACGUCAGGAGACUGAAGUCGGAGGCGAGUAGGUGCAACGGACGAAAGGUUUUGCCGUUAAAUUCAACGAUUUGUGAAUCAACGGCUGGAAGGAGGAAAAAAAACAAACAAACGAGACACGACGUUCAUAAAAAAACCCAUGCAACAACGCCAUCUGCUAGUCGGUGUGAGAAAAGAGACGGUCGGGGGAGGUAAGAAGUGCUGGACGGCGGGCUUCUUCCCUACAACGAACAGGGCAACAAUAAACCCAGAAAUAGAUUUCCCAGCAGUUCCUCGGCUCGCGGGACAAAUCCUAAAAGGAGGUAGGGGACGGCGUGAAAACCCGAGACACUUGAGCUGGGCCGUCUGCUCAGACUCCAGAAUUAGCACACACACCUCCCAAAGAUAUUUGUCCAAAUUGAAUUUGUUUUUUUGUUUGAAAUAAAUCGUUUUUUCAUUGAAAA